UUAAGUUCAGCGGGUAUUCCUACCUGAUCCGAGGUCAACCUUUGGGUUACAGUGGGGGGGUUUCACGGCAGGAGCCCGCCGCACGCCCUGAGCGAGAUGUGCUACUGCGCUCGGUGUGACUAGCGAGCCCGCCACUGGUUUUCAGGGCCUGCGGGCAGCCGCAGGGCCCCAGCACAGGCCCCCCGGAGGGGGCCUGAUGG
RNAcentral lists this unclassified non-coding RNA (200 nucleotides) under Podospora sp. RNAcentral describes it as "partial internal transcribed spacer 2". The record is from RNAcentral. Lineage: Eukaryota; Fungi; Ascomycota; Sordariomycetes; Sordariales; Podosporaceae.